UUAUUAAUAUAUGAAAUAUUACAGGAGGGGAGGGCAAGACCACCUAAUUGUCAAGGGUACAAAAACCCUUUUCGAUAGGCCAUGGGUGAGUGAAGACUACGAUCUAAAAAAGGUGCAUGUACAUAACAUAUACCAUUCUAAAGCAAUAAAUAGAACCGGAUCAAUAAAAGAGCCAAAGGCACCAUCGUGCCGUGAAAGGUGCAUAUAUUUCUCUAUAGCAAUCAAAGCCACAGGAUCUUUUUCUGAUUUUUGAAUGGAUGACCCAAAAGGUAAAAAGCAGGGGGGUGAUCGCACAAAUUAAAAAACACAUAGGAUUAUGCUUAAUGGCAGUCUCAGUUCAGCUGAAAUUUUGCAGAAAAGAAACUGUCACAAUGUCUUAUGCCAUCAAUUUGUUCUUUAUGUUUCAAGGAAGGAGAAUCUCUAAUCACAUUUGCUUCGAGUGUUUAUAUUAUCUAAGUUGUCAAUUUUUGUUAUUUAAUGUCUUCACUCUCCCAUGGAUUUUUUCUGAUUCUCGGAAGGCGAAUGAGUUCCAACCUUUAUGUGGUAUUGAGUGAAAUUCGCAAAGUGUAUUUACAUUGGGUUAUGCUGUCAAGACCAUUCUCUUCAAGCUUUGGAUGGAAAGAAAUCAAGGUUGUUAUCAAUCUCUGGAGGAACACGAUCCAUUCUAGAACUGGUUGGAAUUAAAGCAGAGGCUAAUAUUUAGUUUCCGAUCAAUAAGGGAAGAACUUAACCACGGUCGAUUCUUAGCAAACAAGCCGGAAAUCAUGGAAGAUCGGUGAGAAUUACCAGCGAGACCUGAAACGAAGAUCCGAGUGAAGAAAAAGUUGCUGUCAGAAGCUGAGAUUGAUUGGCUGCAGUGGAGAAGGAAGACGCGGAAGUUGACUGGUUCCGAUGGAAAAAGAAGAUGACAGCAAUCGUGUGGAUGCUAAGGAGGGAGAAAACGCCGGCAAAUGGUGAUUUACGGUUGUCCGAGAAACUAAUUUGGAAUUGGUGUAAAUCGCAUGGAGAAGAAGAAGAUCUACAGUUACCCGAGAAACUGAUUUGGAAUUGGGAUGAAUCGUGUGGAGAAGAAGAAGAAAUCGCCCAUGUGAUGCUGACAGCAUGGCAGAAGGUGAUAGGAAAGAAGGUUAGGGCAAGAGAAAUAAACCCAAUGGGCUUCAACUUAUUUAAAAUAAAACAAUGGAGGCCCUUAACGCUAUAGAUGAAGUGGGUGGUGAAUUCCAAAAACGGGAGAGAAGAAAAACGUGUCUAAGGGAGGGUUUUGAAAAUGAAAUGGGCGGCAAUAUGAUUUGGGUUUUGUUUGGGCUUAAUCAAGAUUAUGGCCCUAACCCACAGGAGAAGAAAAGUUUGAAGAGAAGAAAAGUUUGAAAAUGGAAGACUUGAUGGUGAUAUGCAAAGGGUUAAGUAUGAUUUGUGGGCUGAAGGAAAAUUAUCCUGAGCUAUAUAGCCUUUAAGCCAAUGCACCUUAUUGAAGCCAAGAGUUUUUAUUGAAGCUGAGGGAAAAGUUCUUUCUCAAACUUGAAGAACAUGUCGCUGGAAAUGGGUGGUGAAUAAAAUAAAAGAGAGAGAGAGAGAGAGGGUCAAUUUUGUGAUUAUAUUUGUAAGCACAACUUGAGGACAAGGUGUUUUGAAGGGUCGGGUAAUGUUAGAUACCUAGAUUAGUAUAGGACAGGGAUAUAAAAAUAAUUAGAUAUGUAGCAGUUAGAUGGUAUACUCCUUGAGAGAGAGGGGAAGCAGAAGGCCAAGUGCUUUUGUUCCAGUUAUUUCAUAUUGUAAUUUCUGUUUAGAUAUUAAUAAAGAAGAAAUAUUAUAUCAA
Molecule: long non-coding RNA, 1816 nt
Organism: Cucumis melo (muskmelon)
Lineage: Eukaryota; Viridiplantae; Streptophyta; Magnoliopsida; Cucurbitales; Cucurbitaceae
Exons: 2
Source: RefSeq, a predicted model, not a curated record